RNAcentral lists this ribosomal RNA (357 nucleotides) under uncultured Gammaproteobacteria bacterium. RNAcentral describes it as "bacterial SSU rRNA". It matches the Rfam family "Bacterial small subunit ribosomal RNA", at positions 9 to 363 of the family's 1533-position model. The record is from RNAcentral. Lineage: Bacteria; Pseudomonadati; Pseudomonadota; Gammaproteobacteria.
GAGUUUGAUCCUGGCUCAGAUUGAACGCUGGCGGCAUGCCUAACACAUGCAAGUCGAACGGCAGCGCGGGGGCAACCCUGGCGGCGAGUGGCGGACGGGUGAGGGAACACGAUAGGAAAUCUACCUCAACGUGGGGGAUAACGUAGGGAAACUUACGCUAAUACCGCAUACGACCGAGAGGGGAAAGCGGUCGGACCGCAAGGCGUCGCGCGGUGAGAUGAGCCUAUGUCCGAUUAGCUAGUUGGCGGGGUAAGAGCCCACCAAGGCGACGAUCGGUAGCUGGUCUGAGAGGAUGAUCAGCCACACUGGGACUGAGACACGGCCCAGACUCCUACGGGAGGCCAGCAGUGGGGAAUA